GCGAAGCCGCGAGGUGGAGCAAAUCCCAUAAAAGGCGUCCCAGUUCGGAUUGCAGGCUGAAACCCGCCUGUAUGAAGUUGGAAUUGCUAGUAAUCGUAGAUCAGCAUGCUACGGUGAAUACGUUCCCGGGCCUUGUACACACCGCCCGUCACACCAUGGGAGCCGGUAAUACCCGAAGUCAGUAGUCCAACCUCGUGAGGACGCUGCCGAAGGUAGGAUUGGCGACUGGGGUGAAGUCGUAACAAGGUACC
RNAcentral lists this ribosomal RNA (251 nucleotides) under uncultured bacterium. Its description in RNAcentral is "partial 16S ribosomal RNA". It matches the Rfam family "Bacterial small subunit ribosomal RNA", at positions 1249 to 1500 of the family's 1533-position model. The record is from RNAcentral.